CGAAUUCUCUCUUGAGUGGAUCCUGAGUACGACGGAGCACGUGAAAUUCCGUCGGAAUCUGGGAGGACCAUCUCCUAAGGCUAAAUACUCUCUAGUGACCGAUAGUGAACCAGUACCGUGAGGGAAAGGUGAAAAGUACCCCGGAAGGGGAGUGAAAGAGAACUUGAAACCGUGUGCUUACAAGUAGUCAGAGCCCGUUAAUGGGUGAUGGCGUGCCUUUUGUAGAAUGAACCGGCGAGUUACGAUCUGAUGCAAGGUUAAGCAGAAAAUGUGGAGCCGUAGCGAAAGCGAGUCUGAAUAGGGCGAAUGAGUAUUUGGUCGUAGACCCGAAACCAGGUGAUCUACCCUUGGUCAGGUUGAAGUUCAGGUAACACUGAAUGGAGGACCGAACCGACUUACGUUGAAAAGUGAGCGGAUGAACUGAGGGUAGCGGAGAAAUUCCAAUCGAACUUGGAGAUAGCUGGUUCUCUCCGAAAUAGCUUUAGGGCUAGCCUCAAGUGAUGAUUAUUGGAGGUAGAGCACUGUUUGGACGAGGGGCCCCUCUCGGGUUACCGAAUUCAGACAAACUCCGAAUGCCAAAUAAUUUAACUUGGGAGUCAGAAUGUGGGUGAUAAGGUCCAUAUUCGAAAGGGAAACAGCCCAGACCACCAGCUAAGGUCCCAAAAUAUAUGUUAAGUGGAAAAGGAUGUGGCGUUGCCCAGACAACUAGGAUGUUGGCUUAGAAGCAGCCAUCAUUUAAAGAGUGCGUAAUAGCUCACUAGUCGAGUGACACUGCGCCGAAAAUGUACCGGGGCUAAACAUAUUACCGAAGCUGUGGAUUGUCC
This 824-nucleotide ribosomal RNA is filed under the name Staphylococcus pseudintermedius. RNAcentral describes it as "partial 23S ribosomal RNA". It matches the Rfam family "Bacterial large subunit ribosomal RNA", at positions 386 to 1212 of the family's 2925-position model. Lineage: Bacteria; Bacillati; Bacillota; Bacilli; Caryophanales; Staphylococcaceae. The record is from RNAcentral.